CGCAUCUGUGCAUGCAGCAUAUCAAUAAGCGGAGGAAAAGAAACUAACAAGGAUUCCCCUAGUAACGGCGAGUGAAGCGGGAAGAGCUCAAACUUGAAAUCUUAAAGGGUUUCCCUUUACGAAUUGUAGUUUAAAGAAGUGUUUUCUGUUGAGGUUUUGGUAAAAGUUCUUUGGAAUAGGACAUCAUAGAGGGUGAGAAUCCCGUAUUUGACCUUUACUUUCAACUUUGUGAUAUACUUUCAAAGAGUCGGAUUGUUUGGGAAUGCAGUCCAAAAUGGGUGGUAAAUUUCAUCUAAAGCUAAAUAUUGGCGAGAGACCGAUAGCGAACAAGUACCGUGAGGGAAAGGAUGAAAAGGAACUUUGAAAAGAGAGUUAAACAGUACGUGAAAUUGUCAAAAGGGAAGCGUUUGACACCAGUGUUGUUUUUCUGAAAAUCAAUUAAAGAACUGUUUAUGCUAAGUUGUUUAGACUUUAUCAGCUAUCUGUUUAGUUUUGAGCUUUUCUUUAAUGCACUUUUCAGUUAACAAGUCAACAUCAAUUUCUUUUGCUGUAAAAAAGCUUGAGGAAGGUGGCUUGAGAUUCGUCUUAAGUGUUUAUAGCCUCUUGCCUAUGCAGUCGGAGAGAUUGAGGUCUGCAGCGUAGAUCCUUCGGGGCUAAAUGCAUUUGUGCUAAGUUAUAGCAUUUUAUAGACAACUUGUUGACUAUGAUUUGUCUUGUAGCUUACUCGCUUAUGUUAUUUUACCUACGCUUAGGAUGUUGAAUCUGUGCGAGACUAC
Molecule: ribosomal RNA, 776 nt
Filed under: uncultured Neocallimastigales
Lineage: Eukaryota; Fungi; Neocallimastigomycota; Neocallimastigomycetes; Neocallimastigales
Description: partial large subunit ribosomal RNA
Rfam family: Eukaryotic large subunit ribosomal RNA
Source: RNAcentral